RNAcentral lists this ribosomal RNA (477 nucleotides) under uncultured bacterium. RNAcentral's name for it is "SSU rRNA". It matches the Rfam family "Bacterial small subunit ribosomal RNA", at positions 26 to 523 of the family's 1533-position model. The record is from RNAcentral.
AGGAUGAACGCUGGCGGCGUGCCUAACACAUGCAAGUCGAACGUCCUGUCUCGCAAGAGGCAGGGAGUGGCGGCGGGUGAGUACCACGUGGGUUAUCUACCGUGAGGUGAGGAAUACCGGCGAGAAAUCGCCGACAAGACCGCAUAGCCUCGGUGCAAGCCGAGGAAAGCUUUCUCGAGAGAGGGAGCGCCACACGAGGAGCCUGCGCCCGAUUAGCUAGCUGGUGGAGUAACGGUUCACCAGGGCGACGAUCGGUAGCUGGUCUGAGAGGACGAUCAGCCACACUGGGAUUGAGAACGGCCCAGACUCCUACGGGGGGCAGCAGUGAGGAAUUUCGUCAAUGGGGGCAACCCUGAACGAGCAACGCCGCGUGCAGGAAGAAGGUUUUCGGAUCGUAAACUGCUUUUCGUCGGGGAAGAGAACGGACGGUACCCGAGGAAUCAGCCCCGGCUAACUACGUGCCAGCAGCCGCGGUAA